Molecule: long non-coding RNA, 8444 nt
Organism: Passer domesticus (house sparrow)
Lineage: Eukaryota; Metazoa; Chordata; Aves; Passeriformes; Passeridae
Exons: 3
Source: RefSeq, a predicted model, not a curated record
CAUCCUUGCUAACAUUUUUCGCUUUUAAUUCUGACAGGCUUUUGAAAGUCUUAGCCUCUGUUGAAUUUGCAAAAGAUCUCCAAUUUGAGAUUCUGAGUGAAGCUGAGCUGCUGCUGGCUGCUGAGCUUGGCUGUGUGUUGGCUGUUGGGGCUGGCUGCACGCCGGUUGCCAAGGGAACUGUGAAGGGGUGGUGCCUUGGGACACAUCUGCACCCUGACCACGCCCCCUCUCUGCUUGUGUCACCGUGGGAACGCGGACUCCUCGACCCCGGCCACGCCUCCUCCCUGAUUGCUGCGGCGCAGCCUCAGCUUUCGUCAUCUCGGGGGUGUGGAAAGGAACGCCCUCGCUCUGGCCGCGUCCCGCCUUCACUGGCUCCGACGCAGCCGCGCCCUUGGGAACGCCCCCCUCCUCCCCGGAACUGACAUCCUCACUGCCCCAACCCCAUUCUUCGCCACCCCAUUCCCAUUCUGGGUCUGGGGUCCCUGCUCUGCUUUGAUCAUCACUAGGAUCCUCCUCUCCUGACUCUGUGCCAACACCCACGUCCGGCGCACGCGACCCCCGCUCCGCUGGUCCCCGUGUCGCGCUCGCAAAACGGGAAAAAGCCCUCCCCGCUCCGGCUUCUGGGUUUUGCGUCAUUGGUGCCCGUCUGCCGCGCUCCGCCGCCGUCGCCAUCGCGGCGCUCGUCGCUGCUGCAUAUUCAGCGCCCGCGACUCCGUGCCUCGCCUUGGCUGGCCUGGCCCUGGCGGGCAUGGCCUUCGCGAACUGUGCGCCUUCCCCGGACGAUUGCUGUCUGGCUGCCUCCGUAGCCGCGCGAGCUUUUGUUAUCGCGCGCGUCACCGGACCCACUGAACGCACAACCGCCGCCGCCGCCCCUGCGGUUCUCGCUGUCCCCGUGGCCCCUCCGGCCGCUCUUGGUGCCGCCCUGAACCGCCGCCUGCAGCUCGACGUGGCUGCGGCGCGACUCUGCAAGACGCCAAGACACAGCUCCUCCUCCCCCUCCCCGGGUUCGCGAUCCCGACUGCACCCUCCCCCACCAGCCCCGCUGCCGCUUCCGCAGUGAGGCUUAGCUCUGGGAGAUCGCCCUCCCCCUCCUCACUUGGGAAAAUGGCUAAAUUUUGUUUUCCUGGGACUGGUAGGGGUGUUUCUGCGUCUGAGGAGUCUGAAGCUUCAGGGGACCCAAGGGACCCUGGGGAAUCCGUGAGUGAUGGCAAGUCCUCCUGCGCCUGUUCUGUGGGAGGCAUCUCUGUCUCUCCCAAAUCGGCAGAGGCAACUGCCAUCUGCUGAGUGUUGGGCAAUUCACCUCCCCCUCCCUCUAACUCUGGGAGAGUUUCUGCUGCCUGCUGCUGGCUGGCAGCCUUCCUGGCUUUUCGUGAAACGGCCUUGAGCAUCACCCUUGCUGAAGGCAAAAGCUUCACCGCCGCCUUAUCUUUCUUUAUGGCUAAAUGAUAAAGCUGUCUGUUGGUCUCUUGCCAAAACCCUGGCUCAAACAACAGAUGAGACUCUGAGUGUGGAUAGCUGCACCUCACCCAUAGCAAAAACUCUCUGAGUUCUUUCUCAGAAAUUUUCAUGGGAUGUGUGGCUGCCACGCCCUGUAGGGCUGGCAAAAUUCUAAGCUGCUCCUGGGAACAUGCAGCUCCCAUGUCCUCAGUGUUCUUAAUUUUGACCGUUCUUACCAAAGCUGAGUUGCCUUCAAAGCCGGUCCAGGGGUUUCCUGGUCACUGGCCAGCAGCUCACAGGUGGAGAAUGUCCAGGGCCCUUUGGUUAUCCUCCUUCCAGGUCAGUUUUGGAGCAAGUUGGCUUGGAAGAGGUCAGAUGGUCUGCUCUGGAAUCUCUUCUCGGUGGUGUGCCUAUUCCCGGGCUGUUCAGUGGUAUGGGUCUCUGGGUCCUUCUCUGACCAGAUCCCAGCGGUGCCUCCAAAAUCUCGGAUUUUCUGUUUUCGGGAUGACCCGAGAGUCCCUUUUUCCCAGCCCACUGGCCGAAGAAAGAGUCGGGAUUCUUCGGCUCGUGUUCACAAGGUUGUUUAUUAUCUAUUAUCUAAAAUAUUUUCCCUCAGACCCGCAGAGGUCUGAUCUGCAGGUCUGUCAAGGGCACACUGCCCACCCCUGGGCUGGUGUCUACAUUUUAUACUACGAGUUACGUAUACUUUAUUUAUCAUUAUUUUCCAAUACCUAUCAUCUACGUUAGACUGUCUACUUGUACUUUAGGCCAAUCUAAAUGUGCCACCAUCACCAAGAAGAUGGAGGGUAGGAAGAAGAAGGAAGAAGCAUAGGACAACGCCCAUGUCCUUCCAUCUUGUCUCCUAGACCCCCUAUAACAAAAUCCCCAAAACUCCAUUUUUCACCUGGUGAUUAAUUCAUUAUUACUCUACUUAAACUUCUGUGGCUUGUGAUUCUUCAUACAAGGUUGGUAAUUUGCUCCAUGGGUUAAGAUCGAAAUCCCAAGUGUCUUUGGCUUCCUGCCAGGGGCACAUGUCACCCAGGGGAAUGUCCUGGGUUCUGACAGUUCUGGAGUUUGUUUGCUUCCGCAAAUCAGGUCUUGGUUAUAUGAAAGGGGGAGCGAGUGAGUGAGUGUACCCAUGGCGGGGGGGGAGAGUUCUACCUGCAUCUGAGGUGGCCGAGCAGGCCCCAGGGAGGUGGCUGGGGAGAGGCAGCUGGUAGGCGCUGGCUGGGGCAGCUGUGGGGGCAAGAUAGCGUCUCUUGGGGAGGCAGUUAGGGAAAAGCAGAGCAAGCGGAGAAUUGUGGGUGAGGACACCUAGAGUGUUUUAAUGUGUUUGUGUAGAUCGUGCAUGUUUUAACCGUGGCUAGAUGAACUGAGGGGAUUCCACUGCCUCAGUGGUUUGGGCUUGACCCCUGGGAGUUUCUGAAUUCAGUAAAUCACUGGAUCCAGUUAAUAAUUUUACUGUGUGCUGCUAUUUUGAUUGUGUCCAGAGUGUGUGAAUGCCAGAGGAAGCUGAUGUGGGUGGAUGCUGAAGUGUUGUAUGCUGUGUUGUAUUGAAAAAAGUCAGCACUUUAAGAGAUACCCCCUUUCCUGGUGAGUUUGUGUGUGAACUUUCUAGUUUCAGGGAACGGUAUUCCCUGUGACACCUGGUGUUUGAUUAUAACCAGUCUCUUGUCAACACUUUGUGUUUGGGUAUUAACCGAUCCUUUGCCUGUGGAACCUGAGAGGCAAGGGACAGACACUGUAGCAUGGUGCCCUUGUGAUCCUUCUUGUGGAGUUUGCAAAGUUGCUCUGUUAGAGCUGUAAUAGAGACAGCUUGUUAUAGUUUACUCUCGUGAAUUUGAGGUACGGGGGGUUUAUGUGAUUCUUCCCCCACAUUGUGGUAAUUUGAUUCUCAGGACUGUAUGGUUGUGUUUGUGGAGAUUUUAGGAUUUUGUUUGCAACAAGUGCAGCAUUUUAUGCAGAAAAACUACAGUAUGGUGAUUUAUGUUUAACUGUUGUAAAGCGAAUUAAAGGAAUUCCAGGAAUUCCCCUUCCGAAGCAACUUAAGCCUUGACUCUUGGGGGGGGGGGGGGAGUGUGUAUUUGUGGGCAUAUAACAGUUUUUGCUGUAACAGGGUGUGAAAAAAUGUUUUUGUGAUUCAUGUCAAUUGGCAAUGGAAUCAGCAAAUGCUUGAAUCUGCUGUGUUGAAAGCGGAUGCGUUCCCUGGGAUAACUACAAAGCACGGUUUUGAAACUUUCUGACCAAAUAGCCAAAUAAAGCAUUGAACAGAAAAACAGAAGAUUUAUAGUAAAGAGAUGAGGUAGCAAAAAUUACUGACGCUUAGAAUAAAAUAGAGGAAGUUGUGGAAAAGCUAAGGGAUAUAGCAACAAAGUGACUAAAUGCUUAUGUAUAAUUAAAAGCUUGAUGCACUGGUACCAGACUAAAAUUAUGUAGCAGACACUGGUGAAAUGCCUCUCUCCAGAUGACCACAAGAAGGACAGGAAGCCAACGACUACCUGGAAAGAUUAUGAAAUUGCUGAUCCCAGCUUAUUGAUAUCUGCUGAUUCGGACUAACACAAGCACACUGGGAAAUGAUUUGUAGGCUUAAAAACUGUAUAUACUUUGCCAAACUUGUAAGUGGCAUGCGCCGUUAGUGGAGCAGUGACUCCCCGGCCACUCAGCGCUGCUUGCUUGCUUGCUUGCUUUAAAAUAAAAGAUAUAAAAAUGAAAUUUAGUUUGGCUAUCAAAAUUUUAUAUCACAGGGACAGCCUUUUGCAAGGCAGCAAAGUGAGUGUGCCCUGUGUCAGUGGAAACAAUACUUUAAUUGAAGUUUGGAUUGUGUGGGAAAAGAACUGGAAAAUACUUAGAUUUUGGAAAGCAAAGUUUAGGUGGAAGAAACCAAGACAGGCACUUUGUCAUUUGUGUUAUCCUAAGGAAACAAAGGCUACUCAGAGAGCUAUAAGGAUUUGAGUAGCAACCGGUCGCGAGAAUCAAGGAAGUAAUAGGAUGUUUGAAUUAUUAGAAAAGAGAGUUUCAAGUAAUUUAAGAAACCCAGCAGAAAUAAUUAAAGCUGAGUGUGCUCAGCCUAUUUUUAUACCCCAAGACUUUUAAAUUAAGUUUGGGAUGAAGUAGAAAAAUGGAUACUAUGAAAAUGGAAUUUUUAGUAGACACGGGGGCAACAUAGUGUUAAAUAAAGCCUUGAUGCCUAUAACAGAUGAUUAUGUUAUGGUAAGGGGGCAACUGGCCAAUCUGAAAAAGCAUAUUUUGCAAACCAUCAAAAUAUAAACUUGGAAAACAAGUGAGGAUUCACAGGUUUUUGUAUAUGCCCAGCUCUCCAAAGGCACUGUUGGUUAGGGAUUUGUUGGAGCAGCUAGAAGCAAAGACCACAUUUAAAGAUGGGGAGAUUAUUUUGGAGGUAAAGGAUCAGCAAUACAUAGACAUACUAAGCUUAAUGUUAACAAUUAAUGAGAUCAAAAUUGAAAAUGAGGAUGAAAUUGAUAAGAAAAUAAUGGAUCAGGUGUUUCCUGGGGUAUGGGCCUCUAACAUACCAGGGAGGGCAAAGAAUGCACCUCCUGUGCAAGUUAAGGAAAACAAUCAGUUAGGGUCAGGCAGUAAAAAGCCUGAUUUGCACCCGGUGGUGGCAAACCCAUACACCUUGCUAACAUGUUUGACACCUGAACUAACCUGGUUUACCAUUUUAGAUUUGAAGGAUGCCUUCUUUUGCCUCCCUCUCCAUGAAGCCAGACAAAAGAUUUUUGCCUUCGAAUGGGAGAAUCCCAAGAGUGGGCGUAAGACUCGGCUCACAUGGAUGGUAUUGCCCCAAGGUUUAACAACAGCCCCAGGAUAUUUGGAGAACAACAACCUGCAAGGGAUCUAGAGUCCUGGGAUGUUCCAUCAGAGGAAGGACAGCUGCUCCAAUAUGUAGACAACCUCCUGAUAGCUAACCGAACCAAAGAGGCAUGUGUGGAUUAGAUGUGGGAUACAGGAGAACCAGUGAUCCAUAGUUGCCUGGAAGCUAUCAAGGCCACCUACUCCAGUCAUCCAGAUUUGAAGGAUACCCCCCUUGAUAAUGCAGAGACCUGGUUCACUGGUGGAAACAGUUAUGUCAUCAGCAGAAAGAGACAUGCUGGGUGUACUGUCAUCACUUGCAGAGAGGUAAUAGAAUCUCGACUACUACCAAGAAACACCUCUGCACAAAAGACUGAGAAUUGGCAAACUCAAGGUAUGCAUUUGAGGUUGUGCAUGCACACAGAGCAAUUUAGAUGCACAAGAAAGAAUGAAACUGUUAGAAGCUGUCCAGCUACCUGAGAAUGCAUAUCAAGGCAUACUAGAAAGUGAGCUCAGAAUUGGAGGAAGGAAAUGAUAUGGCCGACAGAGAGGCAAAAGAAGCAGCAAAAGUCUCUUACAGAAAAGACUUUGUAACCACAGUGGGAAGGACCAUUCCAAAUGCUUCUCACCACUUUCACUGCAAUUAAGACCAAGGAGCAGAAUGCCUGGAUCCACCACUCUUGAGUGAAGAAGGCCCCAGAAGCCCCUUGGAGAGUGACACUGGGAGACAAUGAACUGAAACGAAAACUUAAUCAGGCAAAAUGAGUAUAUUACAGCCGGGAGUAGUUAGUAAUUUCAUUUGCAGAAUUGUUUGGUGUGUAAUAGCAAUUGAAGUCUUAGAAUUAGAGGGUACCUCUAUUCAAAAUGAUGCUGAGUGGCCUUGGUCCCAAGCUUUUAUUCGUGUCGUGGUUUGACCAGGAAGUGAGUUUCUGGGAAAGUUAUGGUCAAACCAAUCAGUGGCCAGAUUUGAAAAUUGGCACCUGUUGUGGCCACUGGGGAUCUGGAUACGCCUCUGAGAACACACAGGGGUUAAAAGCAGAGGAUUCCCAGAGAGACUUUCUCUUUUUGGAGUCCAGCGGUGAGUCGGUGAGUCGAAUCUGACCUCCUCCCCUGCCCAGCUUCGUCUGGGUGGGGGAGGCCAUGCGGCCUGUGAGAAGGGAGGCCGGAGCCCUGCAAGGUGCAGGGGUGGAGGACAACUGGGAUGUUUUGGGCAGCCCCCCCGGAGAGAGUGAUAGAGACUGUGCUGGCUUGAAAAUUGAUAUCUUGUGCCGGCACCAUGGCCAGGAGAAGAAGGGAGGAGGGAGGGCAAGGUGCCCAGCCGCCGGCAGACCGUGGCUGAGGUUUUAACCCCAUUGGUGCUGAAACAAUGGAAGCUGUAAGAAACACUGAUCCUCCCUAGCUGAGACCUGAGAGGGGACGGAGGAUGGGCAGAUGAGAUGAAGGCUUGAGUGAGUGCAGAAAUACCAGCAAAUGAGAAGCACCCUAGAUAGAGGAGAUGAUUUGGAGUGGCGUUGGCUGGACUUUUCUCUUACAUGGCCACAGGACGGAACCAAAUCUUCCUGUAAUGUAGAGACUGCACCUUGGGGGAGGCGGUUGGCCAGAAGCCAGGAGUGACAAGGCCAUUAUGAUAAGUAGAGGGAACAGAGACUGAUGGGGAGGGUGUGGUGGAGCCCUCUGCCUUCAGCAAAGGAUCUCUGUUCCUGAGACCCCCAGGCCCCAGGGGAGUAAAUAUGGGGGGGACAGGUGUCCCAAAUGGUGAGAGGCUGCCACUUCUUGGAACUGGGCAAGGCAUUCUUAAAAGGACCUAAGAAGCAGUUUGGAUCCAUGGACAGUGGUGAGAGCACUGGACAUGGAAGGAAGAUAGUCACCACGGCAGAUUCUCUCUGGGCAGCUGCCACGUGUGACAUGGAAGCACAGGAGGUUCCAAUUGUGUUUCCUGGGGAGGCCCAUGGUGCAAGAGGGAGACUCCUCUCUCCUGAUGAACUGGGGGAGGUUGUGUGGAGGAUGGUAUUGGAUUGAGAAUUGAGUGUUAGAGGGGAUUGAGUGUUAGAGGGGUGGAGGGAGGAGGAGUGUUUUGGAGGUAUUCCGUUGUGGAUUGUUGUGUGUGGGUUUUUUCCCUUUUUUUUUCUUUCCCUUUUGUCUCUUAUGCUGUAGAUUAAUAAAGUGUUGGGUUUUUUUCCCCUCCAUUUCCAAGUUGGAGCCUGCUUUGUUCUGUUUCCGGGUCACAUCUCACAGUAACCAUUUUGGAAAUAUACCUUUCAUGGGGGCACUGGCAUUGUGCCAGUGUCAAACCAUGACAAUUCGGUACACUGGAUUCAUGGGAAAACAUUCUGAUGUAAAGGAUUUAAAUCUAUCAACUGUAGUAAUGCAUGGGAAUCAGGUAUAUGGGGAGCAGGAGUGGCAAAAACGGGAACUGUGGACACUUCAAGGGAUCAGAGGAGAAGAAAUCAGGGUAGGAUGCCAGAUGGUCAAUGGGACCACCCAUAAGAGACCAAAUCAAAUUACUGUUUCAGCUUCUACAUACAGGCACCAGGAGGUUUGUGGUAGCCCAAGUAAACCAGGCUGUUGGUAUAAUUUCACAUUGAUACAGCCUGUAGAGGUGACCUGUCUUUGGGCUCAUGGUGCUAUUGGACUCUCAUUCAAAUUUAAAAUAGAUGCUAUAUCUCUUACAACAGCAGGACCUCAUACAACUCACGCCAGUACUCAAGCAGCUCAAACCCAAAACAAACUUGAACCUAAGGUCUAUGAAAUAGGCCAUACAACUGUUGUUUAAUCCAGAGUGGUCUCUCAAACGUGUCAAAUUGCUGAUGCAAAUCAGCAUAUCAGAAAUCCAACCAGCCUGCUCCUCUUUCCUGAGGACAUCCUUCGAGGGCUGGACAACGUGGUUAUAAAGACAAAUACACCUCAGGAGCAGAAUAAGAAGGGAUUUAACUGGGAUGUUAGGGACAGGAUUGGGAGUUUUAAAUGGAAUUGACUCAGAAAUAUUAAUGAACAAGCUUGCCACUGCAACAAGUGAUCUAACAAAACUAAACCAGCCCCUGUAGUCAUCUUUAUUAGCAUUAGGAACUAGCCAGUGGCAGAUUUCAAAAGUGCUACCAAAAUGGGAAAAGGCCAGGGACCAAGACCACAAGUUAAUAGUAGAGGCACAUACUAUGGUUCAAGACAUUGUGGCUGGGACUCCAAAACGCGGUAUUAUU